GACGAACGCUGGCGGCGUGCUUAACACAUGCAAGUCGAACGAAGAGCGAUGGAAGCUUGCUUCUAUCAAUCUUAGUGGCGAACGGGUGAGUAACGCGUAAUCAACCUGCCCUUCAGAGGGGGACAACAGUUGGAAACGACUGCUAAUACCGCAUACGAUCUAACCUCGGCAUCGAGGAUAGAUGAAAGGUGGCCUCUACAUGUAAGCUAUCACUGAAGGAGGGGAUUGCGUCUGAUUAGCUAGUUGGAGGGGUAACGGCCCACCAAGGCGAUGAUCAGUAGCCGGUCUGAGAGGAUGGACAGCCACAUUGGGACUGAGACACGGCCCAGAGGCCUACGGGAGGCAGCAGUGGGGAAUCUUCCGCAAUGGACGAAAGUCUGACGGAGCAACGCCGCGUGAGUGAUGACGGCCUUCGGGUUGUAAAGCUCUGUUAAUCGGGACGAAAGGCCUUCUUGCGAAUAGUUAGAAGGAUUGACGGUACCGGAAUAGAAAGCCACGGCUAACUACGAG
RNAcentral lists this ribosomal RNA (510 nucleotides) under uncultured bacterium. Its description in RNAcentral is "partial 16S ribosomal RNA". It matches the Rfam family "Bacterial small subunit ribosomal RNA", at positions 28 to 507 of the family's 1533-position model. The record is from RNAcentral.